UAAUUUAUUUUUAUGAACAUUUUGCUGCAAUGUUGAAGUGGUUUGAUAGAUGGGUUUAUUUUUUGAAGUAGUUUGAGGGUUAAAGUUUGGAACUUUUCAGGUUUUUGCUUCAGUUGGUCUUAUUUGAACACUUUGUUUCUAGGUUUUGAGCUUGGUUUAGGAUAUUUGGGAUUGGGGUUUUGGUUGGUUUGAGAAAUGAGUGUAAUUUUGAAUUGUUUUUUAGGGUUGAGUAUUGGGACUUUGCAAGUUUCAACUCUGUUUGAUUGAUUUGAACACUUUGCUUGUAGGAUUCGAGCUGAUUUUUGGACAUUUAAACUUGCUUUUUGUUUGUGCUGAUUGAUGGGGUAUACUUUAGAUGCUUCUAAUGGUUUGGUUUUUGGAACUUUGAUGAUUUUGAAUCUGUUAGUUUGAUUUCUUCAACUCGGAGAAAAUAAACAUGGUUUGGAGAAAGUUUGUUCUGUUUUAGUUUUGGAUUCCAUAUGGGUUGGUUGUCGAUGCUGAAUAACACUUGAAUUCUUUCCCUAACCCUUUUCAUGAAGAAACAGACAAGGGAGUAAGGAAUUAUUUUCUUGGAAUCUUUAAGCCUCCACGUUUUAAUUGAGGAGCAGAAAAGUGAACAAGGGUUUUACCCCCUACACUUAACACUAACCACCAAACCAGAGAAGGCUUUUGGCCAGGGUCACUGGCAAUAUGAUAGUGGAGCUGGCAUUCCUCCAAGGCAGAACUAUGGUUAUGGUCCCAAGUUUUUCAAUGGCCAUCAUGCUGAAUGCUUUGUAUCUGAAUUGAAGUUUGCAAAGAGUGAAGAAACAUUAGGAAGAAAAUGUAUAGAUUUUCAAGAGAUUUUAGGAGCAAAAGUCAUGAUACUUGAGGCCUUAUCCAGUAACAACUGACUGAUUAUCGUAAUCUCUCUGGGACACCAUAUGAAACACUUGCAGCCCUAAACCUCUUUAGGGUGAUAUGCAUCCAUUCUUUUAUCCCUUUUAUACCUAAUUGCUCUCAAAGUGUAUAUCUGAUUGACAAGCGUCAAUCUUUUAUAAUUGGUUAAUAUGUCAUAGACAUGAUCGAGAAAGGGGUGUUCCGUGCACUAAAGCUGGGCUAUGCGUGGGAUCCGAGGAAGGGCUGGACAACAGGGUCUAAUCCAAAAAAUUCAUGUUGAACAUGGAGCUGCUAUAGUGAUGCUCAAGGCCAACUGUGGUGAAUUAAAUUACUUUUAGGAUGUAAACUUACAAAUUAUAUUUAAACAAUUUUCUACUAACAUGAUAUAUCAGGUAUCUUUUGCAGGUAUUGAAGUGUUCACUUGAGCAAGUCAAGAUACAAGUUGUCAAGUUUCUUAUAAUUUUUCUACUGUUAGGUAAAUAAUUUAUAUCUUUUGCUGAGGAUGUUAGAUUUCUUGAAGGAUUGUGUAAACAAUACAAUGACCUACUAAAAGUUUUUUCUUUCCUACUCAAGGUUAAUUUCCACUAAUAAUUGAUGUUGAAACAUAAUUUAGGGACAAUUAUGUUACUACCGUUAAACAAUUGUCGCAAAAAACUUUACUUGUUGCAGUGAGUAGGUGUUAUAAAAAUUGUGCAUUAGUUAGAGCUUGCAGCUUGGCUGAGGCUGAUUGAAACAAAAGAAACAGAAAAAGAUUACCAAACCAUGGGUUUGCAAUAGUUUUGAUCAUGCCAUUCUGAAUUUUUCCCAUAUAAAGUGUCAAUCUAUCUCUAUAUGUUUUGUUCUUUCAUGGAUUUUGGGUUUGUAGCUUUACUGUCAAUGUUCACUUGAACUGGUAGAACUGACUUGAGCUCCAAUUUCCUUAAGUAUCCCAGAAUUCAUGUUAGCUUAACUACAGUAGACGAUGCUAAGCUUCUGUAUUCAGUUUCAACUGAACUUCUAGAUGCUAUACUUUGCUUUUUUUAUUUCCAAGAGAUUACAGAGUCACCUAGUUUGAUUAAAAAGCCUAUCACAAUUUUUCUGGAGUUUGGACAUGCUGUCUUGUUCUUUGGUGCUGCUUGAUAUGAGUAUUCCCCGCUGUUCAUUUUGAAGGCUUGAUGUAGUGCUGUCUUGGUUUCUUUAAUUAGUUGUAAGUUACUACCAGUGAUAAGCAUGCCAUCCACAUAUACUAGGAUGACUAUCAGAUCAUUUCCAACUUUCGUCGAGACUAAAAAGUGAUCAUCUUGGCUUUGUUUGAACCCAGAUUGCUUCCAAUAACUUUGUAUUCCAUUGUCUUGGGGCAUGUUUUAGGCCAUACAAGGAUUUUUAAGAAGCUUGCAUACUGGUCUUGUGUCCCUUAGCUCUUAAAACCUUAUAGAAGAUCCAUGUAGACCUCAUCACGAAGAUCUACUUAAAGGAAAACAUUGUAUACAUUUUGGGUUGAUCACUUGAUACCAUUUUGAUUACCUCUGGUAAUCAAUGCCCUCUUGUUGAUUGUAUCCCUUUGCUACUAAUCUAGCCUUGAACCUUUUAAUUCCACCUGCGUCUCUAUAUUUUAUCCUAAAGUCCCAUUUGCAGCCAAUGCCAGUAGGCCUCUUUCCUUCGGGUAGAGGAACUAUUUUCCGAGUGUUGUUACUUUCUAGAGCAGCUAUUUUACCUUCAUUGCAUCCACCUACCUAGGAUCUGAGACACCUUCACUAUAAGAUGAUGGUUCUACCUUGGUUGAACUAGCAGCAGCGAAAGCUCGAUAAGCAGAAGAGAGAAUGAUCAUAGUGAAUGUAAUUUGCAAUGAUGGAAGGUCUAUUGUGACACCCCAACUUAAGAUAAAGAAAUCUCACAUCGGCAGAACACAUGAGAGAUGUUGGGUAUAUAAGUAAGCAGACUGUGCGGGCCUAGGUCCAAAACGAACAAUAUCACUAGUGAGCUGGGUCGUUACAUCCAUGCUCAUACAACAUUUCAUAUUGCGACUUAAUUGUUAAGCACAGAUCAUGUUAAUUAAGUAAGUUGCAGCUAGAACAUAGUUAACAAAAGCUUAAAACACUUUUGACCUUCCAAAAACUUGUUCUAACAGACUAUAAGUCGUAAAGAGAUCUCUAAAGGAAGGAAGGAAUUAACAAACUUAUAUGAUUGUAUAUAUUUCUGUUACACCCCAAAUUCAAAUCACACUAGAGAAAUAUAUCAGUUCAAACAAACAUAGAAGAAAGGCACAAACCUAAGAA
This is an RNA transcript of Solanum tuberosum (potato), 3131 nucleotides long. RefSeq lists it as uncharacterized. Lineage: Eukaryota; Viridiplantae; Streptophyta; Magnoliopsida; Solanales; Solanaceae. The transcript is spliced from 4 exons. The record is from RefSeq and is a predicted model, not a curated record.